RNAcentral lists this ribosomal RNA (874 nucleotides) under uncultured bacterium. RNAcentral's name for it is "bacterial SSU rRNA". It matches the Rfam family "Bacterial small subunit ribosomal RNA", at positions 638 to 1502 of the family's 1533-position model. The record is from RNAcentral.
AACUAAGANUACUGUAGAAGGGGGGGUAGAAUUUUCCAGGGUGUAGCGGUGNNAUGCGUAGAGAUNCUGAAGGAAUACCGGUGGCGAAAGGCGGCCCCCCUGGACAGAUACUGACACUCAGAUGCGAAAGCGUGGGGAGCAAACAGGGAUUAGAUACCCUGGUAGUCCACGCCGUAAAACGAUGUCUACUUGGAGGUUGUGGCCUUGAGCCGUGGCUUUCGGAGCUAACGCGUUAAGUAGACCGCCUGGGGAGUACGGUCGCAAGAUUAAAACUCAAAUGAAUUGACGGGGGCCCGCACAAGCGGUGGAGCAUGUGGUUUAAUUCGAUGCAACGCGAAGAACCUUACCUACUCUUGACAUCUACAGAAGCCAGCGGAGUCGCAGGUGUGCCUUCGGGAACUGUAAGACAGGUGCUGCAUGGCUGUCGUCAGCUCGUGUUGUGAAAUGUUGGGUUAAGUCCCGCAACGAGCGCAACCCUUAUCCUUGUUUGCCAGCACUUCGGGUGGGAACUCCAGGGAGACUGCCGGUGAUAAACCGGAGGAAGGUGGGGACGACGUCAAGUCAUCAUGGCCCUUACGAGUAGGGCUACACACGUGCUACAAUGGCGCAUACAGAGGGCGGCCAACUUGCGAAAGUGAGCGAAUCCCAAAAAGUGCGUCGUAGUCCGGAUUGGAGUCUGCAACUCGACUCCAUGAAGUCGGAAUCGCUAGUAAUCGUGGAUCAGAAUGCCACGGUGAAUACGUUCCCGGGCCUUGUACACACCGCCCGUCACACCAUGGGAGUGGGCUGCAAAAGAAGUGGGUAGUUUAACCUUCGGGAGGACGCUCACCACUUUGUGGUUCAUGACUGGGGUGAAGUCGUAACAAGGUAACCG